RNAcentral lists this transfer-messenger RNA (355 nucleotides) under Armatimonadota. Its description in RNAcentral is "RGIG7931 sp017959625 Standard tmRNA". It matches the Rfam family "transfer-messenger RNA". Rfam says of the family: Bacterial tmRNA, also known as 10Sa RNA or SsrA, is named for its dual tRNA and mRNA-like properties. The record is from RNAcentral. RNAcentral also lists the same sequence under 1 other name. Lineage: Bacteria; Bacillati.
GGGGGCGUAUGGUUUCGACAGGAAAGUUAUUCUUCGAUCUGCGUGCCGAGGACCCGCUGGCCUCGUAAAAAGCGGGACUUAAAAAUUAAACGGCAAAGAUAAUUCUUUCGCUCUCGCUGCGUAGUCGGCGAGCCUCUUAACUCACUGCUUCUGACUCGGUGAGGGCAGGGGUCAACCCAAGUCAGAUCAUUCCGGCGGAACGCCCGUGACCGUUUGGAAGACAUCUUAUCGGGUCUGGCAGUUCUUUACCUGUGUCUGCAAGGUUGGGGCUGCCGGGAUCAAAUGCAGAAUACGCAUGUAGAAGAUCGCUGCAAUGCUUUUUUGGACAGGGGUUCGAUACCCCUCGCCUCCACCA